RNAcentral lists this ribosomal RNA (253 nucleotides) under uncultured bacterium. Its description in RNAcentral is "partial 16S ribosomal RNA". It matches the Rfam family "Bacterial small subunit ribosomal RNA", at positions 524 to 776 of the family's 1533-position model. The record is from RNAcentral.
UACGUAGGGUCCGAGCGUUGUCCGGAAUUAUUGGGCGUAAAGAGCUCGUAGGCGGUCUGUCGCGUCGAAUGUGAAAACCCGGGGCUCAACCCCGGGCCUGCAUUCGAUACGGGCAGACUAGAGUUCGGUAGGGGAGUCUGGAAUUCCUGGUGUAGCGGUGAAAUGCGCAGAUAUCAGGAGGAACACCGAUGGCGAAGGCAGGUCUCUGGGCCGAUAUUGACGCUGAGGAGCGAAAGCGUGGGGAGCGAACAGG